Molecule: long non-coding RNA, 556 nt
Filed under: Salmo salar (Atlantic salmon)
Lineage: Eukaryota; Metazoa; Chordata; Actinopteri; Salmoniformes; Salmonidae
Description: lncRNA (ENSSSAG00000091808.1)
Source: RNAcentral
GUGGCACCAGAAGCAGGAACACUCAGCUGGAGACGUGAGCCCUUUGAUGCGGUGGAUCUGUUGCAAUCGGAAGUGGAUAGAAGAUUUGAUCAAGAAGGGCUAGGGAUAGCAGCAUGAUAAGAGAAAAUCAUAACUGACACAGGAAAAGGAAACACAGCUCAACUGGAUGCACAGUCCUUUGAUUCCCCUUCGCCACGCAGCUAGACACAGGCCACCUGCUGAUCCAUCUCCGCAUGUCGGAAGAGAUCACAAAGAAUACCCCAUGCAGCACUGUCCCAGAGGUUUCUUCAACUCUGGUCUAACUUCACCCUGAAACUAGAGGUCUCUUCUACUCUGGCCCCACUUCACCCUGAAACUAGAGGUCUCUUCAACUCUGGCCCCACUUCACCCUGAAACUAGAGGUCUCUUCUACUCUGGUCUAACUUCACCCUGAAACUAGAGGUCUCUGAUCCACUACCUUCAUAUCAUAGGCCUGCAUUAUAAUAGACUGAUGGCCACACCAGACCAAACCUUCACAAUAGUUUAUUAUUAAAAGUAAGUCAAGCCAUUGUUUUUC